GACGAACGCUGGCGGCAGGCCUAACACAUGCAAGUCGAGCGAAGCGGCGGACGGGUGAGUAACACGUGAGUAACCUGCCUUAGACAUUGGGAUAGCCUCGGGAAACCGGGAUUAAUACCAAAUGGUCUAAGAUGGACUAGCGUCCCAUUAGCUAGUUGGUGGGUAACGGCCCACCAAGGCGACGAUGGGUAGACGGCCGGAGAGGGUGACCGGCCACAUUGGGACUGAGAUACGGCCCAGACUCUACGGGAGGCAGCAGUGGGGGAUAUUGCACAAUGGGCGAAAGCCUGAUGCAGCGACGCCGCGUGGGGGAUGAAGGCUUGCGGGUUGUAAACCUCCGUACAAAGGCCCGGGGUAGGUGGAGAAGAAGCGCCGGCUAACUACGUGCCAGCAGCCGCGGUAAUUC
Molecule: ribosomal RNA, 406 nt
Filed under: uncultured bacterium
Lineage: Bacteria
Description: partial 16S ribosomal RNA
Rfam family: Bacterial small subunit ribosomal RNA
Source: RNAcentral